Molecule: ribosomal RNA, 894 nt
Filed under: Haloferax sp.
Lineage: Archaea; Methanobacteriati; Methanobacteriota; Halobacteria; Halobacteriales; Haloferacaceae
Description: bacterial SSU rRNA
Rfam family: Archaeal small subunit ribosomal RNA
Source: RNAcentral
UGCACGAGUUUAGACUCGUGGCGAAAAGCUCAGUAACACGUGGUCAAACUACCCUACGAAGACCCAUAACCUCGGGAAACUGAGGCUAAUAGGUCAUAGGAGAGUCACGCUGGAAUGCCGACUCUCCCAAACGCUCAGGCGUCGUAGGAUGUGGCUGCGGCCGAUUAGGUAGACGGUGGGGUAACGGCCCACCGUGCCGAUAAUCGGUACGGGUUGUGAGAGCAAGAGCCCGGAGACGGAAUCUGAGACAAGAUUCCGGGCCCUACGGGGCGCAGCAGGCGCGAAACCUUUACACUGCACGCAAGUGCGAUAAGGGGACCCCAAGUGCGAGGGCAUAUAGUCCUCGCUUUUUCCGACCGUAAGGUGGUCGGCGAAUAAGGGCUGGGCAAGACCGGUGCCAGCCGCCGCGGUAAUACCGGCAGCCCAAGUGAUGACCGAUAUUAUUGGGCCUAAAGCGUCCGUAGCCGGCCAUGAAGGUUCAUCGGGAAAUCCGCCAGCUUAACUGGCGGGCGUCCGGUGAAAACCACGUGGCUUGGGACCGGAAGGCUCGAGGGGUACGUCCGGGGUAGGAGUGAAAUCCCGUAAUCCUGGACGGACCACCGAUGGCGAAAGCACCUCGAGAAGACGGAUCCGACGGUGAGGGACGAAAGCUAGGGUCUCGAACCGGAUUAGAUACCCGGGUAGUCCUAGCUGUAAACGAUGCUCGCUAGGUGUGGCACAGGCUACGAGCCUGUGCUGUGCCGUAGGGAAGCCGAGAAGCGAGCCGCCUGGGAAGUACGUCCGCAAGGAUGAAACUUAAAGGAAUUGGCGGGGGAGCACUACAACCGGAGGAGCCUGCGGUUUAAUUGGACUCAACGCCGGACAUCUCACCAGCUCCGACUAUAGUAAUGACGG